Molecule: ribosomal RNA, 497 nt
Filed under: uncultured bacterium
Lineage: Bacteria
Description: partial 16S ribosomal RNA
Rfam family: Bacterial small subunit ribosomal RNA
Source: RNAcentral
GACGAACGCUGGCGGCGUGCCUAACACAUGCAAGUCGAGCGAACAGACGAGGAGUUUGCUCGUCUGACGUUAGCGGCGGACGGGAGAGUCACAUGUGGAUAACCUAACUCUAAGAAUGGGAUAAUUUCGGGAAACCGGCGCUUAUACGGGAUAAUAUAUUGAACCGAAAGGGUCAAGAGUGAAAGAAGGUUUUGGUGUCAGUUAUAGAUGGAUCCGCGCCGCAUUAGCUAGUUGGUAAGGUAACGGCUUAACCAGGAAACGAAGCGUAGCAGACCUGAGAGUGUCGUCGGCCACCCUGGAACUGAGACACAGUCCAGACACCUACGGUAGGCAACAGUACGGACUCUUCCGCGAUGGGGGAGAGCCUGACGGUGCGACGUCGCGUGAGUGAUGAAGGUGUUCUGAUCGUAAAAUUCUGUUGUUAGUGGAAAACAAAUGUUUUAUUAACGGUGCACGUCUUGACGGUACCUGAUCAGGAAGCCACGGCUAACUACGUG